This 1315-nucleotide ribosomal RNA is filed under the name Mycobacterium intracellulare. Its description in RNAcentral is "bacterial SSU rRNA". It matches the Rfam family "Bacterial small subunit ribosomal RNA", at positions 126 to 1440 of the family's 1533-position model. The record is from RNAcentral. Lineage: Bacteria; Bacillati; Actinomycetota; Actinomycetes; Mycobacteriales; Mycobacteriaceae.
CUGCCCUGCACUUCGGGAUAAGCCUGGGAAACUGGGUCUAAUACCGGAUAGGACCUUUAGGCGCAUGUCUUUAGGUGGAAAGCUUUUGCGGUGUGGGAUGGGCCCGCGGCCUAUCAGCUUGUUGGUGGGGUGAUGGCCUACCAAGGCGACGACGGGUAGCCGGCCUGAGAGGGUGUCCGGCCACACUGGGACUGAGAUACGGCCCAGACUCCUACGGGAGGCAGCAGUGGGGAAUAUUGCACAAUGGGCGCAAGCCUGAUGCAGCGACGCCGCGUGGGGGAUGACGGCCUUCGGGUUGUAAACCUCUUUCACCAUCGACGAAGGUCCGGGUUUUCUCGGAUUGACGGUAGGUGGAGAAGAAGCACCGGCCAACUACGUGCCAGCAGCCGCGGUAAUACGUAGGGUGCGAGCGUUGUCCGGAAUUACUGGGCGUAAAGAGCUCGUAGGUGGGUUUGUCGCGUUGUUCGUGAAAUCUCACGGCUUAACUGUGAGCGUGCGGGCGAUACGGGCAGACUAGAGUACUGCAGGGGAGACUGGAAUUCCUGGUGUAGCGGUGGAAUGCGCAGAUAUCAGGAGGAACACCGGUGGCGAAGGCGGGUCUCUGGGCAGUAACUGACGCUGAGGAGCGAAAGCGUGGGGAGCGAACAGGAUUAGAUACCCUGGUAGUCCACGCCGUAAACGGUGGGUACUAGGUGUGGGUUUCCUUCCUUGGGAUCCGUGCCGUAGCUAACGCAUUAAGUACCCCGCCUGGGGAGUACGGCCGCAAGGCUAAAACUCAAAGGAAUUGACGGGGGCCCGCACAAGCGGCGGAGCAUGUGGAUUAAUUCGAUGCAACGCGAAGAACCUUACCUGGGUUUGACAUGCACAGGACGCGUCUAGAGAUAGGCGUUCCCUUGUGGCCUGUGUGCAGGUGGUGCAUGGCUGUCGUCAGCUCGUGUCGUGAGAUGUUGGGUUAAGUCCCGCAACGAGCGCAACCCUUGUCUCAUGUUGCCAGCGGGUAAUGCCGGGGACUCGUGAGAGACUGCCGGGGUCAACUCGGAGGAAGGUGGGGAUGACGUCAAGUCAUCAUGCCCCUUAUGUCCAGGGCUUCACACAUGCUACAAUGGCCGGUACAAAGGGCUGCGAUGCCGCAAGGUUAAGCGAAUCCUUUUAAAGCCGGUCUCAGUUCGGAUUGGGGUCUGCAACUCGACCCCAUGAAGUCGGAGUCGCUAGUAAUCGCAGAUCAGCAACGCUGCGGUGAAUACGUUCCCGGGCCUUGUACACACCGCCCGUCACGUCAUGAAAGUCGGUAACACCCGAAGCCAGUGGCCUAACC